Molecule: long non-coding RNA, 286 nt
Organism: Sander lucioperca (pikeperch)
Lineage: Eukaryota; Metazoa; Chordata; Actinopteri; Perciformes; Percidae
Exons: 3
Source: RefSeq, a predicted model, not a curated record
UAUAUUCCCUCAGUUUUAAACAGCCUGCCCACUGCUUUACUUCCAUAUGUGUGCCGCCCCCAGCAGAAACAGCGCUACUGCCCACUGUGAGCAAAAGGAGCAACAGCAAGGGGGCUGUAGCGCAAUAAUCCAAAGUGGAAGCAUUCACAUAUUGGUCCAACAUGUCUGAAGGGCCAAGUUGUUUCAGACAUUACGGUGUAAGGCGGUGAGCAGUGAGAGCACAGCACAGGCCGACAGACAAUGACCACUCUGUCUCACUGGAGCUCUGUGGCGGGAAAGCAGGAAG